CGCAGCACUUCCGGCUCCUGCUCGGGGCAAGCGGCCUCCGCCAUGAUCCCCGGACCCGGCGGGUGGCGCCUCGCGCUUCACCACUGCGCAUGUGCAGCACCCGGUGCCUUUUCACCGCGCCGGCGCAAGAUUCCAGAUUUGGAGGGUUCACAUAUUCAAGGUGGUUGCUUGGAAGCUGUGAGUAAUAGAGACGGAAAGGAGACGCCAGCUUGCCUAGCAGUGCAUGUACUACAGACAACCCCCACCCCAGAAAUGGCCACUUCAGCAAUAACACACAAUUAACCAGAUGCUACUUUGUGGGGUUUUUUCAUUUUGUUCAGUAACAAUUUGUUGUAACAAUGCAGAUAAUAUACAGUGCAGUGAAACCUGCUCUACCUGCUAA
Molecule: non-coding RNA, 382 nt
Organism: Chrysemys picta bellii (western painted turtle)
Lineage: Eukaryota; Metazoa; Chordata; Testudines; Emydidae
Source: RefSeq, a predicted model, not a curated record